Molecule: long non-coding RNA, 822 nt
Organism: Epinephelus fuscoguttatus (brown-marbled grouper)
Lineage: Eukaryota; Metazoa; Chordata; Actinopteri; Perciformes; Serranidae
Exons: 3
Source: RefSeq, a predicted model, not a curated record
AGACCAGAGGAGCGUUCAGGAAAAAGGCCCGUUUAUUUGAGCACUCCAGAAACUCCGGUAACACUCCAGGGGGUAAAAGACUCCAUCCCAAACUCUGACUCUUCUAGCGUAACACACACACACCAUACACACAUACUCGUUUACCAUAACAAGUGGGGACCACCCUCCCCUCUCUGCUCAAUCUCCAGCCCGCACACUGACUGACAGCGUAGCCUGUAAACAGAGCUCAGCUGUUUAUUUAGUCUAGCAAUAUCUCCGGACUAUAGUAGCUGCAAUGGACGACUUUGAACACGAUUUUGAAGAGUUUCUUGUAGCGGACACAGACCCAGAGCCAUACCUGUUUGAGCCGGAGCAUACAGAUGAGGAACUCCAUGUGUUUGAUGCUGAGCGGGCGAGAAGAGAGGCUGAAUGCACAGAAUGGGAUUCGGUGCUACCAUUGUUAGGGAGAUAUAUCAUCAGGAGGAAAAGCGCCGCAGAGAGUGCAUCACAAGGAGUGAAGUUGUGUCUUCUUUUCCUCACAGAUGAUGGUUCGGGUUCAUUCUCUCCUGUUGCGUGAAUUCAACUGGAGGCCAGCUGAUCUGCUGUGUACAUCACUUCACACUGAUGCUGGAUGUGGUCAGAUGCAACAGAAUAUAUCUUUCAGCCAGAAGAGUUUCAGGCUCAAUUUGAUGCUCAUCUGCACGUGAACGACCAGGAAUCUAAACACUGACACUGCUGUACCAACACACAAUUUGCCAUGAACAGGCCUACUAAUAACAAAAUUAUCAUAAUUAUAAGAAACUGACUGACUCCAAUAAAAACUCUGGUCAUUUUUGUCUGGUA